Picea glauca (white spruce) is the source of this 121-nucleotide non-coding RNA. Lineage: Eukaryota; Viridiplantae; Streptophyta; Pinopsida; Pinales; Pinaceae. The record is from Rfam.
GCAUGCCUACAACAUAGAGUUAAUACAAUGGAUUCCAUUAGAAAUCUACAGUUAAGUGCGCUUAGGCUAGAGUAGUACUGGGAUGGGUGACCACCCAAGAAUUCAUAAUGUUUAACAUGCC